CAGUCGCCGCGGGAAUACAGAGGGUGCGAGCGUUAAUCGGAUUUACUGGGCGUAAAGCGUGCGUAGGCGGCUUUUUAAGUCGGAUGUGAAAUCCCUGAGCUUAACUUAGGAAUUGCAUUCGAUACUGGGAAGCUAGAGUAUGGGAGAGGAUGGUAGAAUUCCAGGUGUAGCGGUGAAAUGCGUAGAGAUCUGGAGGAAUACCGAUGGCGAAGGCAGCAAUCUGGCCUAAUACUGACGCUGAGGUACGAAAGCAUGGGGAGCAAACAGGAUUAGAUACCCCAGUAGUCCCUGUCUCUUAUAC
Molecule: ribosomal RNA, 301 nt
Filed under: uncultured bacterium
Lineage: Bacteria
Description: partial 16S ribosomal RNA
Rfam family: Bacterial small subunit ribosomal RNA
Source: RNAcentral